RNAcentral lists this unclassified non-coding RNA (165 nucleotides) under uncultured Ascomycota. RNAcentral's name for it is "sequence contains ITS1". Lineage: Eukaryota; Fungi; Ascomycota. The record is from RNAcentral.
CCGAGAUAGGGUCCUCCGGGGCCCGACCCUCCCAUCCCGUGUUUAUUGACCUUUGUUGCUUCGACGGUGGACCUCGAGCCUCGUGCCCGGGGGACCCGUCGCGAGCCCACCCAAACCCAACCGUAAUUUGUGUACGUCUGAGCGAAUUGAUACAAAUCAAGCACA